UACAGAGGUCCCGAGCGUUGUUCGGAUUCACUGGGCGUAAAGGGUGCGUAGGUGGUGAGGUAAGUCGGAUGUGAAAUCUCCGGGCUCAACCCGGAAAUGGCAUUGGAAACUACCUUGCUGGAGGAUUUGAGGGGGGAUUGGAAUACUUGGUGUAGCAGUGAAAUGCGUAGAUAUCAAGUGGAACACCAGUGGCGAAGGCGAAUCCCUGGGCAGUAACUGACGCUGAGGAGCGAAAGCGUGGGGAGCGAACAGG
This 253-nucleotide ribosomal RNA is filed under the name uncultured bacterium. RNAcentral describes it as "partial 16S ribosomal RNA". It matches the Rfam family "Bacterial small subunit ribosomal RNA", at positions 524 to 776 of the family's 1533-position model. The record is from RNAcentral.